UGGCAUCAUAAACUAAUGCACCAAGUUUAUGGAUUCUCCACCAAUGAAUAAAAAAUAAAAUAAAAACAAAAGCAGAUAUCAGAAAAAUGAUAUUCCUUUGUGCAAUAAAGAAUCUGAGCGUGUAGUUGAAGAAGACACCGUAGCAAGGGCGGUGGAUGUGGCGGAGUCAUCACUCGUCACUCGACUGCGACACCCUUCUCUGCCCAAU
This 208-nucleotide long non-coding RNA is filed under the name Vigna radiata. RNAcentral describes it as "long non-coding RNA (VRAD_LNC010971)". Lineage: Eukaryota; Viridiplantae; Streptophyta; Magnoliopsida; Fabales; Fabaceae. The record is from RNAcentral.